Long non-coding RNA from Coturnix japonica (Japanese quail), 2087 nucleotides. Lineage: Eukaryota; Metazoa; Chordata; Aves; Galliformes; Phasianidae. The record is from Ensembl.
UGCUUUUUCUCUUUAAAAUUUUAUCUUGAUUCCACUUCUCCAGACUCCUAUGGAAAUAAAUCAUACAGCUCAAAAUUCGUCAGAGCAGCUAUUGGAAGAACUUUUAGGUCUUAAAUAACGAAUGUUUGAUGUCUAUACAUAUUUGGUGGAACAUUAUUAUACUGCCAUUCUAAAACCAGAAGAAUUUGUGUCAGUAUGUUUUACAUGAGAUUGCCAUUAAACAUCAUCUGUUAUUAGGGAAAAAGGCUGACAGUAAUGAGUAAUCCAAGAACGAAGAAUUAUCUGAAUUGGAGGAGAUUUAGUUGAAAAUGAGUGAAAUGGAAUCAUGGUGGAUAGACAUUGGCUGGCUGCCACACUCCCGCCCAGCUGCUCUCUUUCUCCCUCUCCUCAGCAGGACAGGGAGAGAAAAUAAGAUGAAAAGCUCAUGGAUCAAGGUAAAGACAGGAAGAUCACCCAUCAGUUACCAUCAAGGGCAAAACAGACUUGACCCAGAGAGAGCAAAUUUAAUGUAUUGCCAACUAGAUAGAACUGGGCAGUAAAACUCAAAGACAAAAAUUAAAACAUCUUCCUCCCAGCUUCUCCUUCUAGGCUCAGAUUAACUCAUUUGGUUCAGACUACUUUACCUCCUUACCUACAGCAGUGCUAGGCAGGUGAGGAAUGUUGGUUUACGCAGGUACAUUAGCCAGGAAAAAAAAAAGCAAAGAAGAGCAUACCCCCUCUGAGAACUAAGAAGGAAGAACUGACAACAGUCUGAACUACUCAGCAAGUUUUUCCUCAGCCUUCACUGGCAGUCAGGAUUUUCAUGUCUAUCAAGUCCCUGAACUUCUAGUUGGGGGCUGAGGGAGUAGAAUCUGUGCAGCAAAGAGCAGGUUAGGGACCACCUGAUCAGACUGGGAGCUACCCAGAUGUCAGCUAGGAAAGAAACAUGGUGGACUUCAAGAAAUCCAGGAGAGUCCUGGAGUCUGCUGAGAAUAACUUCUUGGUUCAAGUAUUGGACAGAAAAGGUGUUACUGAAUCAGGUGCUCACAAGUGCAGAGGACAUCGUAAGAGCUUAAGAAUGAGGCAGACUGGUUUGUGGUCACUAUUCCCUGACUGAAUUCAUGAUCUUAAGGAAUAUGGGCCUCGCAAAAAGCAGAUUCAGGACCCUGUACUACUCCUGUUUUCAGGGCUGGUGAGUCCGUAGUUCAUAUAUAGUUUUCAGUUUUGGGUCCCUCUUUGCAAAAAAGACAUUGAGGCACAGGUGCAUGUCCAAAUGCAGGCAACCUAGUUGCUACAAGGUCUGGAGCAUGUGUCUUAUAAGGAGUGGCUGAAGGAACUGGAAUUUUUUUUUGUGUGUGGAAAGGAGGCUCAGGGGGACUCCCAGUCUCUCUUUACACUUGCCUAAAAGGAAUUUUUAAUGAGGUAGGUGUCAACCUCUUCUGCCACAUAACUAGUGAUAGGACCAGAAUGGCCUUAAGCUGUGCCAGGGGAGGUUCAGGUCAGAUACUCAGAAACAGUUCUUAGAAAGAUUGGUAAUGAACAGGCUGUCUAGGGAGGUAGUGGAGUAACUGUGUUCAAGAAACAUGUAGAUGUGGUACUGAGGAAUAUAUUUUAGUGGGCAUGGUGAUGAUGGGUUGAUGGCUGCACUAGAUGAUUUCAGAGGCUUUUCCAUCCUUAAUGAUUUUAUGAUUCUGAGGUUCUGUGAUUCCAUGCACAAUAGAAUUUCUGCUCUGGUGCACUUACUUUCCUUUUCCUCUGACCUUGGUUUCUGCAGGUCUGUUUUUCACACCUUUUUUCUCUCAAUGCUGUCACAUGCUGCCUGGUAGUAGUUUCUUAAAUCAGCUGUGCCCUGCAGUGGGGCUGUUGGAGCCAUCUGAAAUUGGCUGUGUCCAACAUAGAGCAGGGUAGGCCUCAACUCUCAAAGGAGUCUGUCACCUCUCAGCCAGAACCAGGCACUCACACCUCAUACGUUAAUACAGGUCAGGUUUGCAUUAAAAUGCACUAGCCUAGAAGCCAAACUAUCCAUCCUUGCCAUUUACUACAUCUGAAUGACAGUAAUUUAAAACAAAAGAAAUAAAAUCAAUUAAAUACGUUUACUUAUUGAUAAA